GGCGAGCUAGCAAAGGUGUAAUGCACGGGUCUGCAAAACCGGUAGGCGCGGUUCAAUUCCCGCCCUCGCC
RNAcentral lists this transfer RNA (70 nucleotides) under Verrucomicrobiales bacterium. RNAcentral describes it as "tRNA-Cys". It matches the Rfam family "tRNA". Rfam says of the family: Transfer RNA (tRNA) molecules are approximately 80 nucleotides in length. Their secondary structure includes four short double-helical elements and three loops (D, anti-codon, and T loops). Lineage: Bacteria; Pseudomonadati; Verrucomicrobiota; Verrucomicrobiia; Verrucomicrobiales. The record is from RNAcentral.